RNAcentral lists this long non-coding RNA (208 nucleotides) under Mytilus galloprovincialis (Mediterranean mussel). The record is from RNAcentral. Lineage: Eukaryota; Metazoa; Mollusca; Bivalvia; Mytilida; Mytilidae.
AAAGAGGCCAGCUUGGAAAAAUAAAAAAAAAUUAAAACAAAAUUAAUUAAGAAAACUACCGGCCUGCUUUAAAAUAAAACAAUUUACAAAAAAAAACAUAACAGACAUUAACCAACGACAACAAGUGAACCAUAGGCUUCUGGCAUUGGACAGACACAAAGAAUGUGGCCGGGUUGAACAUGUUUGUUAGUGCUCAAUUCCUUCCCCC